This 813-nucleotide ribosomal RNA is filed under the name uncultured Staphylococcus sp. RNAcentral's name for it is "bacterial SSU rRNA". It matches the Rfam family "Bacterial small subunit ribosomal RNA", at positions 81 to 877 of the family's 1533-position model. The record is from RNAcentral. Lineage: Bacteria; Bacillati; Bacillota; Bacilli; Caryophanales; Staphylococcaceae.
CUUCUCUGAUGUUAGCGGCGGACGGGUGAGUAACACGUGGAUAACCUACCUAUAAGACUGGGAUAACUUCGGGAAACCGGAGCUAAUACCGGAUAAUAUUUUGAACCGCAUGGUUCAAAAGUAAAAGACGGUCUUGCUGUCACUUAUAGAUGGAUCCGCGCUGCAUUAGCUAGUUGGUAAGGUAACGGCUUACCAAGGCAACGAUGCAUAGCCGACCUGAGAGGGUGAUCGGCCACACUGGAACUGAGACACGGUCCAGACUCCUACGGGAGGCAGCAGUAGGGAAUCUUCCGCAAUGGGCGAAAGCCUGACGGAGCAACGCCGCGUGAGUGAUGAAGGUCUUCGGAUCGUAAAACUCUGUUAUUAGGGAAGAACAUAUGUGUAAGUAACUGUGCACAUCUUGACGGUACCUAAUCAGAAAGCCACGGCUAACUACGUGCCAGCAGCCGCGGUAAUACGUAGGUGGCAAGCGUUAUCCGGAAUUAUUGGGCGUAAAGCGCGCGUAGGCGGUUUUUUAAGUCUGAUGUGAAAGCCCACGGCUCAACCGUGGAGGGUCAUUGGAAACUGGAAAACUUGAGUGCAGAAGAGGAAAGUGGAAUUCCAUGUGUAGCGGUGAAAUGCGCAGAGAUAUGGAGGAACACCAGUGGCGAAGGCGACUUUCUGGUCUGUAACUGACGCUGAUGUGCGAAAGCGUGGGGAUCAAACAGGAUUAGAUACCCUGGUAGUCCACGCCGUAAACGAUGAGUGCUAAGUGUUUAGGGGGUUUCCGCCCCAUUAGUGCUGCUAGCUAACGCAUUAAGCACUCCGCCUGGG